AGAGCGCAAGCAGUGAUGCCCAAGCGGGUAGGGCCGAGGCCCGGGAGCAGCAGGGCGGCGCCGGCUCCCGGCGCCGGCUCCCGGCGCCGGCUCCCGGUGCCGUGUUGGCGGCGCCGGCUCCCGGUGCGGUGUUGGCGGCGCAGAAGCGCCCCCGCGCGGGGCGGGCACUCCCCCCGGGACUGCAGCUCCCGGCAGGCAGCGCGGGGCGCCCCCGGUGCCGGAAGCGCCGGUCGGGGCGGGGGACGGGACUGGACCGUCCGGGGCAGCGGGGUUAUGGCGGGCCGCGGGGCGGGCUCCUCGGAGCACCUGGAGCGGCUUCAUGAGAUCUUCCGCGGGCUGCACGGAGACCUGAGGGGUGUCCCCGAGCGGCUGCGGGGCAGCGCGGCCGAGGAGAAGAAAAAACUGGUUCGAGAAUUUGACGAUAAACAGCGCGAAGCCAAUGAGACGCUGCGUGAAAUGGAGGAAGAACUGAAGUAUGCUCCCCUGCCUUUCCGCAACCAAAUGAUGAGCAAAAUCCGAGCGUACAGAAGAGACCUGUCCAUGUUCCAGAGAGAGAUGAGAAGCACAGAUUUGGGAGUGGGCCAUGGAAGUCAAGGCGAUAUAAAAUAUGGAAUCUUCUCCACAGAAAAUGAACAAAGUACUAAUCUGCAGUCACAGAGGGUGCUGCUUCUCCAGGGAACAGACAGUCUGAACCGAGCCAGUCAGAGCAUUGAGCGCUCACACCGGAUUGCUGCUGAAACAGAUCAGAUUGGCACCGAUAUCAUCGAAGAACUUGGGGAGCAGCGGGAGCAGCUGGAACGUACCAAGAGCAGAUUGGUGAAUACAAGUGAGAACUUGAGCAAGAGUCGCAAGAUUCUACGUUCGAUGUCCCGGAGAAUAACCACUAAUAAGUUGUUGCUGUCAAUUAUCAUCAUCCUGGAACUGGCCAUCCUAGGAGGUGUGGUCUACUACAGAUUCUUCCGCAGCAGAUGAAUCUUCAUGAUGGAGAUGAACUUUUCCACUGUUGAGGAACAGGAUGGGCUGUCUGUUCCCUUUGAUUGUCUGAGGAUUGAACUGAGUGGUGAGACAGCACAUUCACCUGAAACUGUACUGACACUAAAAAGACAGAGAAUGGGAGUAAAAGGAAAAUGCAGAGACAGACUUGAACUACCGAAAGCCAGGGUGAAAGGCUGAACCACUGAUGUGCAUGGCAUCUAGGAUGGAGGAAGCACCAAGCUUGAGGAUUUCACUAACAGCUCAGCAAGAUGAGCAUUUUUCAGGUCCAUAGUUGAAGACUGCCUCCAAGCCAUACCAUGUAGCCUAGCUGAUGAAGAAAUAAAGGAUAAUUUUUAACCUAAAA
Pseudopipra pipra is the source of this 1339-nucleotide RNA transcript. It is a transcript of the gene named vesicle transport through interaction with t-SNAREs 1B, with no coding region annotated. The record is from RefSeq and is a predicted model, not a curated record. Lineage: Eukaryota; Metazoa; Chordata; Aves; Passeriformes; Pipridae. The transcript has 7 exons.